Molecule: ribosomal RNA, 996 nt
Filed under: uncultured bacterium
Lineage: Bacteria
Description: bacterial SSU rRNA
Rfam family: Bacterial small subunit ribosomal RNA
Source: RNAcentral
GGGGAAUAUUGCACAGUGGGGGAAACCCUGAUGCAGCGACGCCGCGUGGAGGAAGAAGGUUUUCGGAUUGUAAACUCCUGUCGUUAGGGACGAUAAUGACGGUACCUAACAAGAAAGCACCGGCUAACUACGUGCCAGCAGCCGCGGUAAAACGUAGGGUGCAAGCGUUGUCCGGAAUUACUGGGUGUAAAGGGAGCGCAGGCGGACCAGCAAGUUGGAAGUGAAAACCAUGGGCUCAACCCAUGAAUUGCUUUCAAAACUGCUGGCCUUGAGUAGUGCAGAGGUAGGUGGAAUUCCCGGUGUAGCGGUGGAAUGCGUAGAUAUCGGGAGGAACACCAGUGGCGAAGGCGACCUACUGGGCACCAACUGACGCUGAGGCUCGAAAGCAUGGGUAGCAAACAGGAUUAGAUACCCUGGUAGUCCAUGCCGUAAACGAUGAUUACUAGGUGUUGGAGGAUUGACCCCUUCAGUGCCGCAGUUAACACAAUAAGUAAUCCACCUGGGGAGUACGACCGCAAGGUUGAAACUCAAAGGAAUUGACGGGGGCCCGCACAAGCAGUGGAGUAUGUGGUUUAAUUCGAAGCAACGCGAAGAACCUUACCAGGUCUUGACAUCCGAUGCAUAGUGCAGAGAUGCAUGAAGUCCUUCGGGACAUCGAGACAGGUGGUGCAUGGUUGUCGUCAGCUCGUGUCGUGAGAUGUUGGGUUAAGUCCCGCAACGAGCGCAACCCUUAUUGCCAGUUACUACGCAAGAGGACUCUGGCGAGACUGCCGUUGACAAAACGGAGGAAGGUGGGGAUGACGUCAAAUCAUCAUGCCCUUUAUGACCUGGGCUACACACGUACUACAAUGGCGUUUAACAAAGAGAAGCAAGACCGCGAGGUGGAGCAAAACUCAGAAACAACGUCUCAGUUCAGAUUGCAGGCUGCAACUCGCCUGCAUGAAGUCGGAAUUGCUAGUAAUCGCGGAUCAGCAUGCCGCGGUGAAUACGUUCCCG